GACAGGGAAUCAACACAUUUCAGAUUUAUCGCUGCAAAAAUUAUUUUCAAAAAGGGGGGAGGGUGGCUAGUAUCAGUGCAUCAGGUACCUGUGGUAAUAUCUUCUACAAACGCACGUGUAACGACAUUAAUUUUCAUGUGCUAGAUUUACAGUCACAUAUAAUUUUAUCAAGUGACAUACAAAAAAAAAAAAAAUAAACUUGGAAUAUUUUCGCUUACAUUACAGUUUGAAUAAAUGGAAGAAAAAUAAAAGACCCUGAAUGCAUACUGAUUGCCCACAUUUUUUAUGUGUAUUUGAGACCCUUCUCCAAUACAUUGAAUGUUUGCAGCAUAUGUAUUUAUAAUAUGAGAUAAUGCUAUUUACAGAUGUGCAUGAUACCAACAAGAAUAUGAACUUUUCAAAGAGCAUAUUUCCAAUUUUCCACAUCUCUAGACCAGUGACCACAAAUGUACAUACAAGUACCCACAGAUGACAGCCAUAUUGACUCCAGUGGAUAAUAUUUACCUCCAUCAGCUGGUUACUACACUGUACAUAGUGGUCAAACCAGGAUAUCCACUAAUUGCUUUCAGUGAUGUGAAUUGUCAUCUACAUUUGUGCUUGUGAACUUUAGUAAACUGUCAAGUUUUAAUAUGAAGAAAAUGACUGCUCAAAAAGCAUCUAAUCUUGUGUUCUAUGAAUGUUUUCAAUUAAACACAAAACAAAAUGAGAAA
Long non-coding RNA from Ostrea edulis (European flat oyster), 710 nucleotides. RefSeq lists it as uncharacterized. The record is from RefSeq and is a predicted model, not a curated record. The transcript has 2 exons. NCBI's taxonomy places the organism in Eukaryota, Metazoa, Mollusca, Bivalvia, Ostreida, Ostreidae.